GCCUGGGUGGCUCAGUCGGUUGAACACCUGACUUUGGCUCAGGUCAUGAGCCUGCAGUUCGUGGGUUCAAGCCCCACUUCAGACU
RNAcentral lists this transfer RNA (85 nucleotides) under Felis catus (domestic cat). It matches the Rfam family "tRNA". From Rfam's summary of the family: Transfer RNA (tRNA) molecules are approximately 80 nucleotides in length. Their secondary structure includes four short double-helical elements and three loops (D, anti-codon, and T loops). Further hydrogen bonds mediate the characteristic L-shaped molecular structure. tRNAs have two regions of fundamental functional importance: the anti-codon, which is responsible for specific mRNA codon recognition, and the 3' end, to which the tRNAs corresponding amino acid is attached (by aminoacyl-tRNA synthetases). tRNAs cope with the degeneracy of the genetic code in two manners: having more than one tRNA (with a specific anti-codon) for a particular amino acid; and 'wobble' base-pairing, i.e. permitting non-standard base-pairing at the 3rd anti-codon position. Lineage: Eukaryota; Metazoa; Chordata; Mammalia; Carnivora; Felidae. The record is from Rfam by way of RNAcentral.